This 477-nucleotide ribosomal RNA is filed under the name Rhodotorula taiwanensis. RNAcentral describes it as "LSU rRNA". It matches the Rfam family "Eukaryotic large subunit ribosomal RNA", at positions 157 to 649 of the family's 3401-position model. The record is from RNAcentral. Lineage: Eukaryota; Fungi; Basidiomycota; Microbotryomycetes; Sporidiobolales; Sporidiobolaceae.
AGUGUUUUCCGCGUUGGACCGCACACAAGUCUGUUGGAAUACAGCGGCAUAGUGGUGAGACCCCCGUAUAUGGUGCGGACGCCCAACGCUUUGUGAUACACUUUCGAAGAGUCGAGUUGUUUGGGAAUGCAGCUCAAAUUGGGUGGUAAAUUCCAUCUAAAGCUAAAUAUUGGCGAGAGACCGAUAGCGAACAAGUACCGUGAGGGAAAGAUGAAAAGCACUUUGGAAAGAGAGUUAACAGUACGUGAAAUUGUUGGAAGGGAAACGCUUGAAGUCAGACUUGCUUGCCGAGCAAUCGGUUUGCAGGCCAGCAUCAGUUUUCCGGGGUGGAUAAUGGUAGAGAGAAGGUAGCAGUUUCGGCUGUGUUAUAGCUCUCUGCUGGAUACACCUUGGGGGACUGAGGAACGCAGUGUGCCUUACGGCGGAUUUCUCGAGAUCUUCACACUUAGGAUGCUGGUGGAAUGGCUUUAAACGACC